Molecule: ribosomal RNA, 555 nt
Filed under: Triticum aestivum (bread wheat)
Lineage: Eukaryota; Viridiplantae; Streptophyta; Magnoliopsida; Poales; Poaceae
Description: partial small subunit ribosomal RNA
Source: RNAcentral
AUGGAAUGGAGGUUGCCGCAUAGGCUUCAUCUUUUUAAUGUCUUUCGUGAAAAUAAGGAUUCCGAUAAUUGUGCCAAAGUGUUAGAAGAAGAAUGUAUUAAAAUAUUUGGCACUAAAUAUUUGAAUGAUGAGCAUGAUUGGAAUGUUGUUAGUAUGAAUUCUUUGAAUAUCCAUGAUGCUAAUGAUAUGCAAAGCUACAAGCUUUGGGAUGCUAUGGUUGAUGAAGAUGAUACUUUUAGUCCCCCAUGUUUUGAUGAGAAUAUUUAUUAUGAUGAAAGCAUGCGUCCUAUCUAUGAUGAUUAUUGUGAUGACAUGUAUGCUAUAAAUAAUAAUGAUAACCAUCAAACUUAUCAUCUUGAUUUUAAUUUUCAAUUGGAUUAUGCCUCGCAUGAUAGUUAUUUUGUUGAGUUUGCUCCCACUACUAUUCAUGAGAAGAAAUUUGCUUAUGUGGAGAGUAAUAGAAAUUCUAUGCUUAUGCAUCAUGAAAGGAGUGCUUUAUGUGAUAGUUAUAUUGUUGAAUUCAUGCAUGAUGCUACUGAAAAUUAUUAUGAGUGA